ACUGAGCUAGCCGAGUUGGUACAAGGCACGCCAUUAUAGCUGUCUUCCUAGAGGGUGCGGGUUGGAAUCCCAUUCUCAGCG
This 81-nucleotide transfer RNA is filed under the name Salix viminalis (osier). Lineage: Eukaryota; Viridiplantae; Streptophyta; Magnoliopsida; Malpighiales; Salicaceae. The record is from RNAcentral.